This is a non-coding RNA of Podarcis lilfordi (Lilford's wall lizard), 2965 nucleotides long. The record is from the annotation of a GenBank genome assembly. Lineage: Eukaryota; Metazoa; Chordata; Lepidosauria; Squamata; Lacertidae.
UGUGGGCUGAGAGGUGAUUAAGUGCUCCGUAGUAUAACCAGCAGACAAGUCUUUCCUCUCUCCUUCCUAUUUCAACUAAAUUGAACCUCAUCCUAAGCCUUAAACUGAAGGGGAGCAUUAGGAAACAUGUGUGCAAAGGAGGAAUGAGGAAUGUGUGUUUCUCCCAUCAACCCCAGCCAACAUGGUAAGUGAUCAAAGACUAUGGGAGUUUAGUUUCAGCAACAUUUGGAGGGCCACAGAUUUCCCCUCCCAGGUUAAAGAUUACAAAAUGCUGAGUAUUGGUCCUCUCAUUUCUGAACGAUUUCCUGUUUCUCCACAAGCUGCCCUUUAUUGACAUUGAUGGUAAUUCCUCCUCCCGGUCUUUCAGAUUUGCUUCUGACCUUUUCAUGGUCCUGUUAUUUGUUUGACUUUGAUCCAUCUUGAUACGUCAUAGACUUUGUUCCAUAAAAUUGUGUCUUGUUUGCCCUGACAAAUGUCCCUGUAGCUCAAGGAUGGGGAGUCUGUUUCUCUCUAGAUAUUGUUGCACCACCAUUCUGAUCACACCUGUUGUUGGCUGAGGCUGGUGUGAGCUGGCAUCAAACAACGUCUGGAGGGCCUUCCUAUUUAUUCAUUUAAAAAUAUUUAUAAAAAGUAUUUAUAUAGCGUAUUUAUUUAUAAAAAGUAUUUAUAUAGUGUCUCUUAGGCAAACAUCUCAUACUUUUCAUAACCUUAAUACAACAGAAUGCAUUAAAAUAUUAUAAAUUAAACAAGCACUAUUGAUAGUCAGAAUUGUUUUUACAAUGAAUGGUUGGCAUCAAUAACCAGCAAAAGCCUCAAUAGAAAGGUAACGUUUCAACCUGUGCUCAGAUUGCUCCACUUUUGCUCCUCCUUCCUAGGGAAUGGGAUUAACCCCGAGUCAGCCCAAUACAUUUUGUGACCUGAGGUGAACUAUAGAAUGGUGCCCCACCACUAUGUCAUUUUCCUACCAAGGAAAGGUUUUCUGUCACAUGCGCCCAAGCACAUGGGAAGAAAAGCCAGUGUUGUCCAACUGUGCGUGCACUUGCUUACUUUAUUUCCAGUUAGGAGAAUGUACCACCAGCUCCACAAGGACACCCGUAGCCAAAGAUGCCCUGUCAGUUUACUGACCUAAAUGCAACGCACCACACAAUGGGAGAGCAAGCAAGCACGAAAGCAAGGCUAACACACACAAAAGGAAGCAGCUCAUCAUUCCACACAUCCUGGAUUAAAGUGGAGACAGAUUCAGGUAGGUAGCUGAAGAAGAUUCAGGUAGGUCUGAAAAAGUGUGCAUGCACACAAAAGCUCAUACCAAGAACAAACUUAGUUGGUCUCUAAGGUGUUACUGGGCAAUGAAAAAAAUUUAUAUAUAUAUUUCUAAAGCGGAGAAACUCACUCACAUUGCUCUUGAUCACUAGCUGGCAGCAAGCAAACAGGAGUGCUUUGCAGAUUUGCAGCAAACCAUUCUCGUGGUGCUGCGUGAACGGAACCACUGCAUGCUUCCCUCAGUUAUGUAAAUUAAUGUAGUUCCACUAGACUAAGCUAAAAGGACAUAGACAGAGUUACCAAAGCUUGACUUUCAAAAAGAAAACCAAGAUAUUUGGGCUAAGAAAACUGUGAUCUUUUGGCAUCAGACAGCUUAUGCAAUGUAACAACAUCACGUACCCUCAGACCAAUCUCUAGAUGGGAAGGUAUUCUAAAAAUAUGCAUGAUUAAUCCAAUUGCACAUGCGUCAUACCGCUCUUACAAGUGUAUCACACAGACAAAAAAUAAAUAAGCUUCUGAGUGCAUGUGUGAAGCUUUCCUGGCUAAAAAUCACACUUCGCACAAAUGCUUCUUUCUUACAGUAUCAAGCAGUCCUUUCAAAUAACUAACAAAAGCCUGAGUUUGGAACAAAAACGAGUUCAAACUGAUAUCAGCAGCUCCUAACAGUCAUCACUAAACAACUUUUUUUAGAUUUCAGGUGUGAUCUAACUUCAGUAAUGGAAAUCAAAGUAUGUUUAUAUUGGUUUCUGUGACAGCUAGGUGAUAGUUUGGAUAAUGAAUGGACUAUAUUAUUGAUAAUCUUGGGACUGACAUGACAAAGUCAUAUUGGUAACAUUUGAUACAACAGUUGAUCCACUGCUUCAUAAUGGCUUCCUGUGUUAUAUACAAAAUAACUAUCAAUAAUACACAGAGCAAAUCAGCAAAAUUUUAAAAACAAGUAUGUAUACAUAACUAUAUUACAUGUCUGGGUGGGCUUGCUGGAAUAAACAGAAGUCUUUAGCAGGCAUCUAAAACAAUAUAUAGCUUUGGUGCCUGCCUAAUGUUUAAUAGGCAAGUUUUCAGAAGUACCGGGGGGGGGGAUCCCUAAGCAGAAAGUAUGUGUGUGUGUGUGUGUGUGUGUGUGUGUGUGUGUGUGUGAUAGAAUGGAAUGGAGUAUCCUGAAGAGGGCAUGACUGGCUGGACACUUUGAACAGCAGCACUCCACACGACAACCUUUUUUCUUCUUUCUUGCAGGUCUCACUUGUAUAUCUAAAUAAAUUUUACCCAUAGGUGCUCAGACAGAACUGGCUAACAUUUUGUGACAAGAGUCAGCAUCCCCCAAAUGCUACCUACCAUACAAAUAAAUAUUUGCUGAGCUAAUGGACCAACAAUAAGAGCGGUAACAUUCCUUUCAUGAUUCCUGAACAGGAAUGGGAAGCGGCAUGUAAGGAUUAGCCUUGUCCAUGGGCCACUGUUACUUCCUGUGACCUCCCAGCAUUCUUCAGCAACUGAGAAGGUAUAGGACACUGAAACCAGGGUCAUUCAUGUCAGCUGUGCCUACUGUUUGAGAGGAGUCACAUAUAGCACUUGUGCAUGGCAGAGUCAGCUGGAAAUGUCAGAGCAAAAAUAGGCUCAGCUUGCCUAUUGUUAACUAGGUGCAAAUUCCUGCUUUUCCUGUACAGUAGACAUUGCUCAGAUUGCUUACAUUGUUCAUAAAGAAAGAGUC